RNAcentral lists this ribosomal RNA (438 nucleotides) under uncultured bacterium. Its description in RNAcentral is "bacterial SSU rRNA". It matches the Rfam family "Bacterial small subunit ribosomal RNA", at positions 954 to 1392 of the family's 1533-position model. The record is from RNAcentral.
GCAUAACGCGAAGAACCUUACCUAGGUUGAACUAUGCAGGAAAAGCCACAGAGAUGUGGUGUCCUUCGGGGCCUGCGAUAGGUGGUGCAUGGCUGUCGUCAGCUCGUGUCGUGAGAUGUUGGGUUAAGUCCCGCAACGAGCGCAACCCUUAUCCUAUGCUGCCAGCGCGUUAUGGCGGGGACUCAUCGAAGACUGCCGGGGUCAACUCGGAGGAAGGUGGGGAUGACGUCAAGUCAUCAUGCCCCUUAUGUCCAGGGCUUCACGCAUGCUACAAUGGCCGGUACAAUGGGCUGCGAUACCGUGAGGUGGAGCGAAUCCCAAAAAGACCGGUCUCAGUUCGGAUCGGGGUCUGCAACUCGACCCCGUGAAGUCGGAGUCGCUAGUAAUCGCAGAUCAGCAACGCUGCGGUGAAUACGUUCCCGGGUCUUGUACACACCG